UAACAAUCAAAUAGACUUUAAGUACACAUGCAAAUACCAAUUAUCAAUCUCUAUAAUUACUUCAUGAUAACGACAAACUAAGAAAUGAAAUUCACCAAAAUAACUAUCAAAUAGAAAAUAAGUAAAGAUUCAAAAUAGUUGCGAAAAAAAUUUUAGAUUUAAGUGUUCGUAUGACCAAGUUCAAGUGACACCGUUGAUAUUGUUAAUUUGGAUAUUUUUUUCUGAAGACAUGGAUUUAAAUUCGAAUUUUUUACAUUGUGGGUGUAAGUUUACUGGUGGUGCUUGUCAUUUCGUCUACAUAAAAAAAUUGCCUUAAUUAUAUUAUUUGUUGUGACAUACUAUAUAUUACUAGAAAAGUGCACCAACGCUGGUGAAUAAUAAACAUUACUAAGAGGGUAUGUAAUCCUCUUAUUUCCACAGCCAUAACUUGAACUCCAUUAUUGUUUUUGAGAAUUUGACUCCUCUAAAGUGAGAAGUUACUAAAGUGGAUCAAUUAAUGAUUGAUAUCAUAAUAAUUUAUGAUUGAUCAUGCAUGUGCACAUAAUAUCAACUAUUUAUUUGAUCAUCAAUAGUUGAUAUUAUUUACUUUAUUCUCUAAAGUGAAUUGUUCACUUAGAAGAGCCAUAUCCUUGUCUUGAACUUCUCUAACCUCUUGUCAAAUUGAAGGCCAAUCGACACCAAGUCAUGCAUAUUAGUCCAAAAUUUGAACCGUUCGAUAUCCUAACUUGCAAGACUCUUAUACGGGAGUCUUCAUAUAUAUAGGUUCCAAAAUUGGAACUGUAUUGUUAUUCUUAUAUAAUUGUAAAACCAAAGUUUUGGCAUAGAGUUUACACAAGGAAUGUUAGAUUGAAGAAGCAAUUGCUAUUCUUAGAUAAUUGUAAAACCAAAGUUUUGGCAAGGAGUUCACACAAGGCAUGUUAGAUUGAAGAAGCAAAUGAUGUUCA
This 944-nucleotide long non-coding RNA is filed under the name Cicer arietinum (chickpea). RNAcentral describes it as "long non-coding RNA (CARI_LNC001933)". The record is from RNAcentral. Lineage: Eukaryota; Viridiplantae; Streptophyta; Magnoliopsida; Fabales; Fabaceae.